Molecule: ribosomal RNA, 301 nt
Filed under: uncultured bacterium
Lineage: Bacteria
Description: partial 16S ribosomal RNA
Rfam family: Bacterial small subunit ribosomal RNA
Source: RNAcentral
CAGCCGCCGCGGUAAUACGAAGGGGGCUAGCGUUGCUCGGAAUGACUGGGCGUAAAGGGCGCGUAGGCGGCGGCCAAAGUCAGGCGUGAAAUUCCCGGGCUCAACCUGGGGGCUGCGCUUGAUACUUGGUUGCUUGAGUGGGGAAGAGGGUCGUGGAAUUCCCAGUGUAGAGGUGAAAUUCGUAGAUAUUGGGAAGAACACCGGUGGCGAAGGCGGCGACCUGGUCCUUUACUGACGCUGAGGCGCGAAAGCGUGGGGAGCAAACAGGAUUAGAUACCCCAGUAGUCCCUGUCUCUUAUAC